This 470-nucleotide ribosomal RNA is filed under the name Escherichia coli. Its description in RNAcentral is "bacterial SSU rRNA". It matches the Rfam family "Bacterial small subunit ribosomal RNA", at positions 1034 to 1504 of the family's 1533-position model. The record is from RNAcentral. Lineage: Bacteria; Pseudomonadati; Pseudomonadota; Gammaproteobacteria; Enterobacterales; Enterobacteriaceae.
ACAGGUGCUGCAUGGCUGUCGUCAGCUCGUGUUGUGAAAUGUUGGGUUAAGUCCCGCAACGAGCGCAACCCUUAUCCUUUGUUGCCAGCGGUCCGGCCGGGAACUCAAAGGAGACUGCCAGUGAUAAACUGGAGGAAGGUGGGGAUGACGUCAAGUCAUCAUGGCCCUUACGACCAGGGCUACACACGUGCUACAAUGGCGCAUACAAAGAGAAGCGACCUCGCGAGAGCAAGCGGACCUCAUAAAGUGCGUCGUAGUCCGGAUUGGAGUCUGCAACUCGACUCCAUGAAGUCGGAAUCGCUAGUAAUCGUGGAUCAGAAUGCCACGGUGAAUACGUUCCCGGGCCUUGUACACACCGCCCGUCACACCAUGGGAGUGGGUUGCAAAAGAAGUAGGUAGCUUAACCUUCGGGAGGGCGCUUACCACUUUGUGAUUCAUGACUGGGGUGAAGUCGUAACAAGGUAACCGUA